This 226-nucleotide unclassified non-coding RNA is filed under the name Hevea brasiliensis (rubber tree). Lineage: Eukaryota; Viridiplantae; Streptophyta; Magnoliopsida; Malpighiales; Euphorbiaceae. The record is from RNAcentral.
GUGGUCAGAGGAGCAUUUCAAAACAUCUGAAGACAGGCAGAUCUGGUACCUUUCCUUGGACAAGGAAACAGGUAUAGAAACUAACGCAUUUAUGAUUCAAUAUUUUCAAAGCUAUUUAUAUUCCCUUGCUUUACGUUCAAGAUUCCUUCUCUUUCUAUAACAGGGUGUAAAUAUAUUUGGUUUUCCAUGAAUAGGUUGUGGAUUUCAAACAAAGCAGAGAUACAGA